This is a transfer RNA of Camelus ferus (Wild Bactrian camel), 72 nucleotides long. It matches the Rfam family "tRNA". From Rfam's summary of the family: Transfer RNA (tRNA) molecules are approximately 80 nucleotides in length. The record is from Rfam. NCBI's taxonomy places the organism in Eukaryota, Metazoa, Chordata, Mammalia, Artiodactyla, Camelidae.
GUGGGUAUAGCUCAUUGGAAGAGUGAGUGCUUAGUGUGUGCGAGGUCCUGGGUUCAAUCCCCAGCACCUCCA